UUUCAAGGGAUGGGAAUUGAACCCACGACCUUCCGCUUACCGGGCAGAUGCCAUGACCACUAGGCUACCCUGGA
RNAcentral lists this transfer RNA (74 nucleotides) under Cordylochernes scorpioides. RNAcentral's name for it is "tRNA-Thr". The record is from RNAcentral. Lineage: Eukaryota; Metazoa; Arthropoda; Arachnida; Pseudoscorpiones; Chernetidae.